CCUCGCAGGGGCCCUCAGGGGGUAGAAGUGAGAGUUCUGGCCUGGAGGACCGGGUCUCAUUUCCUGCGGGACAUCCUACAGGUGGCUUCCCUCCGUGGGCCUCAGUUUCCCCAUCUGGCAGCCGAGCUCGUCACACCGGGACAGGCACACUUGAAACCAGCCACCAUGCUGUGAGGAAGCCCAAGCCCUGCGGAGGGAUGACGUGACGCGUUCUGGCUGACGUCUCCAGUUAGGGCUCUCAGUUCACAACCAGCAUCACUCAGAUAGGUGAUGAACUGACAUCAUCCCAGCUGCCAGCCUCUGAGUCUUCUAGCCAAAGUCCCAGACGUGGAGCAGAGACAAGCCAACCUUGCUGUGCCCUGUCUGAAUUUCUCUCCCACAGAAACUGAGAGAUAAGAAGCGAUCAUUAUUGUUUUAAGCCAGUGGGAGAUGGAGUGACCACCAACAACAUGCAUUCCUAAGGUGGUCUGAUGGAGUGUGGGGCUCCAGCGAGGAAGUGGAGCCCUGGGCAGGAGGCAUCUCAUCAUGGAGACAGUCUGUUAUCUGAGAAAGCCAAGGCUUCCUGUUGGGCUCCCCUUGGGCAAAUGCCUGGCAUGGACAAAGGAAGAUGAUGAAAUAACAACCAUGAUGAAUGGCCACUGAAUGCUUUGCACACGCUGAAGAGCUUUCUGUGGAUUAUUUCACUGAAACCUCAGAGCAACUCUAUGAGGUCCCAGCUUUGUGGUCCUGGCCAGUAGUGGAUCCUUGAAACCUUCAGAUUGGGCACUGUCCUUGGCCACAAUACUCUCUGUUGAAGACUUUAUCCCCUCUCACAGGGAAGAACAAAGAGGGGCGAGGAAGAAAGAGAACUCAAUCCUGCUGAGCUUUGAGCCGAAUAAGCCUCUACUUGUUGUGGUCCAUUGGAAAAUAGAGUCCUGUUCCUUAAUAGAGUCGUAUAGCUUGGGAAACUGAGACCCAGGAGGCAGGAGAGGCCCCAUGUAGGCGAUGACACCAAACACUGACAGGAGAUGAAUUCCCAUAGGAAAGAUGUCUUUCCAAUACCAGUAGAAAAGUAACAUUCUUAUCAUCAAGGACAAGAAAUUGAGACCCGGAGAAUUCUAUCCAAACAGACCUUGUUAAAAUAACUCCACUUUCUUUAGCCUGCCCACAUAGUUGUGGCCUCAUAUAAAGCAAGAAAAUUAGUCCUGAAUGCACCUCUCACAUAAAAACUGGCCUGCUGGGAAGGGAGCACCUGCUCAGGGUUCCAGAGAAGUGUGAGGCCCUGCCCCAUCCUGGAGGAGCUCACGGCCAGGUGCACAGCCCCCGUCCUCCUCCCCACCGGUGGCGACCUGUGAUGCGAGUCAGGUGGGUGGAAAGGCAGGUAGAGGAAGCUGGGAGGAGUCUAGCAAAGAGAGGUGGACGGGGGCCAGGUGGAGACAGUAUGGAUGGCUGAGGGAGCUACAUGGGCAUUUUAGAGCAAGGGCAUUUAGAGCUCUGUCCUCCAGAGCAAGGACAAUGGGCAGAAGAGUUGGAGUGACCUGCCACCGGAAGCCACAAUUGUCCCUUCCCGUCCCACUGUACCAUAAUACCUCUGUUCUUGUCCUCUCAGCUUGACUGUUGGUUGCUUAAUUCGGUCAGGAAGUAUCUAUUGAGGAUUGUUCUAUGUACUAAGACCACACCAGGGAACAAAGUAUACCAAAAUUCCUGCCCUCAUGAUGCCUACAUUCUCGAAGGAGACAGAUCAUAAGCAAAAUAAACAGUUUACAUAGUAUAGCAGGUGAUAAGUACACUGUGGGAAAGCACAGCACCAAAGGUGACAGUGCAUGUUGGAUGUCUGCGCAUGCAUGAAUUAAAAAAAAAUUUUUUUACCAUUUAUUCAUUUUUGAGAGACAGCGGGAGACAGAGCAUGAGCA
This is a long non-coding RNA of Felis catus (domestic cat), 1892 nucleotides long. RefSeq lists it as uncharacterized. The record is from RefSeq and is a predicted model, not a curated record. The transcript has 7 exons. Lineage: Eukaryota; Metazoa; Chordata; Mammalia; Carnivora; Felidae.